RNAcentral lists this transfer RNA (72 nucleotides) under Candidatus Moraniibacteriota bacterium. Its description in RNAcentral is "Candidatus Moranbacteria bacterium tRNA-Ile". It matches the Rfam family "tRNA". Rfam says of the family: Transfer RNA (tRNA) molecules are approximately 80 nucleotides in length. Their secondary structure includes four short double-helical elements and three loops (D, anti-codon, and T loops). The record is from RNAcentral. Lineage: Bacteria; Candidatus Moraniibacteriota.
GGGACCGUAGCUCAGCGGUAGAGCAGGGGACUCAUAAUCUCUUGGUCGCUGGUUCGAAUCCAGCCGGUCCCA